AAUCAGUGGUUUUAUCCAAUCAGAUGGUUGUUUUACUGUGGUGUUUGAUAAAAGAAAAACUGGUUUAUUAAUCAGACCUAAACCUAUAUUUGUUUUAACUCAGGAUCUUUCUGAAGAAAAAUUAUUCAGAGAAUUACAUAAAUAUUUAGGAGUCGGUUUUAUUACAAAAAAUAAAAUAAAUGUAUCUUUAUAUAUAACAUCUUUAUUUGCAAUAGAAAACACAUUAUUUCCUAUUUUAGAUAAACAUAUGUUAAGAUAUGGAAAAUUAACUCAAUAUUUAAUGUUUAAGACUGUAGUUCAAAAAAUGUUAAAUAAAGAACAUUUAAAAUUAAAAGGUUUACUUGAAAUAAUAGAUAUUGGUUUUCAAAUGAAUAUUGAAACAACUAGACGAAAAAAAGAUUCAAAAAAAGUUUUAUUAGAGUUUUUAAAAAAUAAACAUGGGGAAAUAAUUUCACCUUGUAAUUUCAAAGUUCCAAGUUUACCUAAACCACAAAACCUUUCUUUAGAUUUUAUAGCAGGUUUAAUAGAUGGUGAUGGAAGCUUUAAUGUAUCUUUUCAGCUCAAACCUUAUAGAAAAAUUAAAGUUAACUUCACAGUUGUUCAAGAGACUUCUAGUAAAGAAAUAUUGAAUGAAUUAAAAAAUUAUUUUGAUUGCGGUAAUGUGUAUGAUUUACGUUCUGCAGCAAGUCGCUAUCAAGUGGAAAAUGUUGAUUUGAUUUUUAAUAAGAUAAAACCUAUAUUAGAUAAAGUAACAUUUAAUACACAAAAAGCUGAAUAUUAUAAAAUCGCAAUAAAGGUCUGUGAAAUAAUAAAAACUAAAGGAUAUAAAUUAAAUAAAAAUUACCUAGAAAUAGUAGAAUUAGCAUAUGAUUCUAAUAAAUUAGGUAAAAGACGUUUAAUUUCAAAACAAGAAAUUAUUAAAAAAAUUCUUGAACAAUAAAGUAUAAAAUAAUUUACCUAAGAUAAAAGUAAAGUUAAAAGUAUAGUCUAAAUUAUAGCGAAAGCUGUAAAUAAAAUGGAAAGAUAAAACUGACUAGGGAUAGCUGGUUUUCCGCGAAACCUAUCGAAGUAGGUUAUUAUAACUAACAUCAUGCAGGUACAGAACUUGAUCUUACUAGGCUAGUCGAAGAGAUAUUUUUCAACUAUAUCGGGGGAUCGUGAAGAUUUUAUCGUUAAGUAAUAGGUCUCGGAAUAGCAGAGAUGAAUGUAUAAUUAUCAGACAUAGUAUGCUAAGGUUGUAUGUCGAGAGGGAAACAGCCCAGAACAAGUGUAAAUAUAAGGUUCCAAAAUUAUUGUUAACAUGAAGUGAAAUAAAGAGAGUUUUUAUCUUAUUCGAUCAGGUGAUGGGCUUAGUGGCGGCCAUUUUUUAAAGACCUCGUAAUAGAGUACUGAUUCAAACAUCGGAAGACUUUCGGUGGGGAUAGAGACAUCUAAAAUUUAACGGAUCAAAACAAUAUACCGACACCUUGUCUAUAAUUAUAGUUGGAAUCCAUAUUAAGAGAUGGAAUGUCUAAUUUAAUUAUGGGGUAGCGGAACGUUGGGUAAUAUUAUUAAAUUAUUCUUUUUAAGAAUAAAAACACAUUAACCCAAGUGAGAAUGCUGACAUGAGUAACGAAAAAGGGAAAAAAAUUUUUUUUUCCUCGCCUUAAGCUUAUGGAAUUAUAUAAGUAACGGCCUCUAAGUUAAUGGACCUAAUGGUCUAAAUGAUGAGAAAAAUCUAAUUGUUUAUUGCGACAACCUUAUAUGAGUGUAUAAGUGUUCUGGAAAAGCAAUACAACUAAGUAAAGAAAAGUGCCAUAAAUUAUUUAUGGUAUUACUUUACAAAGAUAUACCGUACCUAAGAACCAAGAGGUAAGCUAGUAGAGAAUACGAAGGCGCUUGAGUGAACAAUCAUUAAGGAACUCGGCAAACUAACUACCGUAACUUAGGGAGAAGGAGUGCCGAUCCUACCGUUUAAUAUCGGUUUGGAUAAGGAAGCAUAGAAUCGUGUUGUCCGACUGUUUAAUUAAAACAAAGCACGCUGCAUUAAGAUGAAAGUCUAAGUAUAGAGUGUGAUGUCUGCCCGAUGCCGGCUGGUUAACGGAGUUUCUGGGCUGCAUUUAUUAUAAGUGUUGGUCUGGUUUUGAAGGAUACCCCGGUUAAUGGCGGCCUUAACUAUAAGGGUCCAAAGGUAGCAAAAUACCUUGGCUACUAAAUAUAGUCUCGCAUGAAUGAUGUAACGAUACAACAGCUGUCUCGAUGAUUGGCUCAGUGAAAUUGGAAUAGCAGUAAAUUAUUUGCUGCGUUGGUGUAAAUCCAACUCAUAGUUAUUACUAAACUUAUAUAUUUAAUUCGUAUAAAUAAAAAUUUUUUGGGUUUUCUGUUGGCGGUAAUGUUAAUCAGAAACUAUCCACACAACCAAAUAGGCCAGUAAAGACGUGAAAGGUCAAUAACAAAUAUUAUUUUAGGGAGUGUUUCGCAAUUUUUAAGGCGCAACAACCUUUUGCUUUUUUGGACCACGAGAAGGUGGUGUCCAUUUUUAAUUAUACAUCAAUUAGACGCUUUAACCGAUGAAUAAAACAAGUGGCGUAAUCGGGUUCGAAACCAGAAAAUUCUCCAGAGGGUUGACACCCCAGCUGGAAAAUUCGAGCUUGGUUAUUCAAGGGAUCGGCGCUAAGGUAUAUUAGCUUUAGCUAUGUAAAUAUAAAUUUUGAAUAAAAACCAAUCGAAAAGAAUAAUUAUUAUGGAACAAACAGAAUGCCAUCAUAUUGUGUGCAUCUAAGAGCGGUGAUGGGGUUAAAGAUAAGUCUUUAACUGGGAAAUUCGGCUUU
RNAcentral lists this ribosomal RNA (2810 nucleotides) under Drechslerella stenobrocha 248. RNAcentral's name for it is "bacterial LSU rRNA". The stretch from base 915 to 2258 matches the Rfam family "Bacterial large subunit ribosomal RNA", at positions 573 to 2043 of the family's 2925-position model. The record is from RNAcentral. Lineage: Eukaryota; Fungi; Ascomycota; Orbiliomycetes; Orbiliales; Orbiliaceae.